UGCAUGUCUCAGUACAGACCGAUAAAAGGUGAAACCGCGAAUGGCUCAUUAAAUCAGUCGUAAUCCACGGGAGUUUGACCCAGUCUUACUUGGAUAACCGUGGUAAUUCUAGGGCUAAUACACGCAACUGAGCUCCGACCCUGCUUCGGUGGGGGUAAGGGCGCCUUUAUUAGUACGCAAAUCGAUCCAUUCCUCUUUUGGUUGGAUGGUUGUGAUGACCCUGGAUAACCUAGCCGAGCGCUCAGGUCCUCGUGACCCGCGCCGCAUCCUUCGAGCGACUGCCUUAUCAGCUAUAUCGUAGGGUAUUGGCCUACGAUGGCUGUGACGGGUAACGGGGAAUCAGGGUUCGAUUCCGGAGAGGGAGCCCGAGAAACGGCUACCACAUCUAAGGAAGGCAGCAGGCACGCAAAUUACCCACUCCCAGUUCGGGGAGGUAGUGACGAAAAAUACUGAUGCGGGACUCGUUCCGAGGCCUCGCCAUCAGAUUGAGCUCAGUCUAAACCAUUGGACAAGUUUCGACUGGAGGGCAAGUCUGGUGCCAGCAGCCGCGGUAAUUCCAGCUCCAGUAGCGUAUGCUAAAGUUGCUGCGGUUAAAAAGCUCAUAGUUGGAUCUCACGGCCGGAACGGCGGCCCACUAAAGGUUUCGACCAGCGCCGAGGCUAGUCGGUGUACUCGUUACGCUUGGCUUCCGCGGUUUGCUUGCGUCUGCCUGGUGGUCAACUGUCCGUCUCCGGCUCGAGACUCCCGCUGGUUCGCGAGGGAUGCCUUGUCUUGUACGGGUGUCCCGAGUGACCGGCACGUUCACUUUGAAUAAAUUAGAGUGCUCAAAGCAGGCAAAGUCUUAUGCCUGAAUGAUGGUGCAUGGAAUGAUGGAACAGGACCUCGGUUCUGCUCUUUGGUCGAUUUUUUGGAAUCGAGGUAAUGAUUAAAAGAAACAGACGGGGGCAUUCGUAUUGCGACGCUAGAGGUGAAAUUCUUGGACCGUCGCAAGACGAACUACUGCGAAAGCAUUUGCCAAGAAUGUUUUCCUUAAUCAAGAACGAAAGUUAGAGGAUCGAAGGCGAUCAGAUACCGCCCUAGUUCUAACCAUAAACGAUGCUACCUGGCGAUCCGUCGGCGUCAUACCCACGACUCGACGGGGAGCCUCCGGGAAACCAAAGGCUUUGGGUUCCGGGGGAAGUAUGGUUGCAAAGCUGAAACUUAAAGGAAUUGACGGAAGGGCACCACCAGGAGUGGAGCCUGCGGCUUAAUUUGACUCAACACGGGGAAACUUACCAGGUCCAGACACCGAAAGGAUUGACAGAUUGAGAGCUCUUUCUCGAUACGGUGGUUGGUGGUGCAUGGCCGUUUUUAGUUGGUGGAGCGAUCUGUCUGGUUGAUUCCGAUAACGAACGAGACUCUACCCUACUAACUAGUCGGCGGAUCGUCUCCCGAGACGGUGGCCCCGGGUAAUACGCCUCCUCCGUCAGCGUGGUGUCUCGGUUGUGGAAAAUCCUGAUGCCCUCCAUCCUCUCCUCGUCGGUGCCUUUCGGGGUUCCUGGUGAGGUAGGGCGGUGGUGUGGUUUGAUGGCAACGCCCAUCGGGUCCGCCUCGUUCGACCGGUCGGAGAAACGGUCCCGUGGUGUCCUCCAACGAGGGGCGUCCGUCGCAGCGUCUUCUUAGAGGGAUCGGCGGCGUUUAGUCGCACGAAAGAGAGCAAAAACAGGUCUGUGAUGCCCUUAGAUGUUCUGGGCCGCACGCGCGCUACAAUGUAGUGUGCAGCGUGUCGUCCUACUCCGAAAGGAGCGGGUAACCCUUUGAAACCAGUACCCGGUAGGGAUUGGGGCUUGAAAAUGUUUCCCAUGAACGAGGAAUUCCUAGUAAGCGCAAGUCAUCAGCUUGCGUUGAUUAAGUCCCUGCCCUUUGUACACACCGCCCGUCGCUACUACUGAUUGAAUGAUUCAGUGAGGGCAUUGGACUGGCGCCCGAGGUUAGUCUUCGAUUCGUUUCGGCGGUCGUACGGCGCCUAGGGUCGACGGGAAGAUGUCCGAACUCGAUCAUUUAGAGGAAGUAAAAGUCGUAACAAGGUUUCC
This 2072-nucleotide ribosomal RNA is filed under the name Eudorella truncatula. Its description in RNAcentral is "SSU rRNA". It matches the Rfam family "Eukaryotic small subunit ribosomal RNA". Lineage: Eukaryota; Metazoa; Arthropoda; Malacostraca; Cumacea; Leuconidae. The record is from RNAcentral.